RNAcentral lists this long non-coding RNA (1992 nucleotides) under Nicotiana benthamiana. RNAcentral's name for it is "long non-coding RNA (NBEN_LNC012453)". Lineage: Eukaryota; Viridiplantae; Streptophyta; Magnoliopsida; Solanales; Solanaceae. The record is from RNAcentral.
UUAAAGCAAACAUCCAUAGCAUGAAUCGCAGAGGAGAAGACAAUGAACACGCCAAAAUCUGCUGCCAAAAAUCACUCAAUCCAGAAGAUUCAGGGAGCAACUGCCCAUGAAAACAGUUGCAUUUCAAUAUGCCAAAUCAAAACUAGCCAAAAGCCAUUGAAGUAGACCUUUUUCAAAAGUCAUUAUUUUCAGAAAAGGCGGAGAUAAAAUCAACACUGAAGCUGUGUAACAUGCAGACACUACGUCCCAAUUUCGUGCAAGUUAGAGUGCAAAUGCAUGAAGUGAAGCAUGACGUACAAUCACUAACUUGACACACUGGAAUAAUGCUCAAAUGAAUCCAAUAUCAGUGACAACAAAUGAAUCCAAUUUAUCCGAGUAGGUCCAAAUAUAUAGAUAACCCUCAGAUCCAUUUCCGAGUUCAAAUCUCAUUCUCAAUCUUAACAUCCUUGGCAAGUAGCUCAUACAACACAUUAACAAACAAACUCUCAGCAAAAGCAAUACUAAAACUCAUGAAAAAUAACAGAUGAACAACAUCUAUUCAACUGAAGCGGGCAGUUUUGCCUAUCUGAGGAUUAAAAAGAAGCUAGACACAAGAACAUGAGCUUAUCAUUGUAAAAUGAUGCCUUCAGCAUAUGAACUGGAAGACGCACUCUUCAUUUGUAAACAAACAGUUGUAACCCAACUAAAGCAGGGGAAAAGGAGACUAUUCAGUGAUUCAUGUCGAACUUGUCGAAACAAAACAGUAGGUGCAUUCAUAGUCGUGCAAAUAGGCUGUCUGGGUAGUGCAAAUAGGGCAGCUGACUCGAUUCAUCAAAGUUCAGAAUGAUUAGAUUCGAGUCCCUAACAGCCGCUAUCAAUUAGUCCACACUCGAUGACAAUCCCAAAAUUUUGGUGCAUAGGUAAACUCAUUCUUUCAACAAGGAGAACAUGCAGAUAAGGUUACGAAAUUAAAGGAAAGAGAAACUAAACAACUCUUUGAACUCUAAUUUAGUAGAACAAAAUCUGAGGACCAAAGAGAGUUCACAGAACAAGUCGAAACUGAACUCAUCGUUCAUUUGCAAGCGACAAAAUCUUGACUCAAAAUGAUAAUUUGACCCCAAAAUAACAGUUAAACCAUAUAAGCACAGAAAACGACCACUCAAAAUCAACUUCUACUAGCUGAGAAUACUCAAAUACAUCACACCAUCGUGGACAGAUUUAAUCAGCAAGAAGUUCGAUCAAAACACAAACAAACCACCCUAGAUUUAAUCUCAUAGCUCAAAAUACAACGAAACAAAACAAAAUCGCAAGAACAGAGAGAUGAAGACUGAACCUGAAAUUUCAAACUUCUUUUGAUAACAAAAUCGAAGGCGAUUACACAGUUUCGACUCCAAACUUUCAGCAGUAAAAUAACAGCAGGUCAAGGCUCGGAGCACAGCCAAACCAGUGCAAAGACGAGCAGCAAUCAGAUGUUUAGACAGCGACGAACUCAGCAACUUUCAAUCGAACUCCAUUUUAAGAACCAAAAUCAAAUCAGCAGGUAAAGGCUUGAAGGAUAGCCAAACCAGUAGCAAAGACGAGCAGCAAUAAGAAGUUUAGACAGCGACGAACUCAGAAACUUUCCAUCGACUCCAUUUUAAGAACCAAAAUCAAGACAAAUAUUUAAAUCUUUGGUGAUUUUCUAAUUUCUUCUGAAAUAAAACUCGAACAAAAAUCAAACCCAAACUAUUCUUUGUAUUUUUCUUUUUCUGAAAAUGCAAUACCAGAUUCAAAAGAAGGAAACAGAACCCUUUUUACCUCUCCGAAAUUUUCUCUCAAACCCCUCCCCCCCUAUACAAAAGAAAGACCUCACCUUAUACCCAAGCCUAGAAGCUUCCUCAAAAAUCCGAAAAUAUUCCCUUCUAGAACAAAUUCGGACAGAUGGAGAGAGGGGAUCGAUUCAAAAUCAAUCUACAGUCCCCAUUUUUCCAAAUUCAUUCUUAAAGGCACAUGGGAGAUGAAAUUCUGUCAGAG